Molecule: ribosomal RNA, 522 nt
Filed under: Triticum aestivum (bread wheat)
Lineage: Eukaryota; Viridiplantae; Streptophyta; Magnoliopsida; Poales; Poaceae
Description: partial small subunit ribosomal RNA
Source: RNAcentral
AUGACACACAUUUUGCCUAAACAUAAUUCUGUUGCCUAUCACGACCUCAAAGUGCUCCUGAAGCAAGCUGCUGUGUGUUGUGUGUACAAGCUGUACACUGAAUUGUCCAUGCGGAAAGACACAGCAGCAGAUCAUACAAUCUACGCCAUGGAGCCGCUGGUGGAGCUCGACGUGGACGAGCGCCAGAAGGAGCUGUGCAUGAUGCCCAAACGUGGCGCCAAGGCCUUCCCCGUCCGCACCCGAGGUAGGCAACGACUUGCGUCACUACCAAGUUGCUACAAGCAUACAAGGCCUUCCGUGUUCAAGCUGAAAAGGCAAGAAGAUUUCAUUAUUAACAUGGAUAAAAAAGGUGGAUCGUCUUCUUCAGUAGAAGUACACAAUGGUUGGCUGAAGCUUUGGAGUGCUAAAGUUCCAGGAAAGGUAAAAAUACAUCUUUGGUGUAUUUUUUUUCAGAGUAUUUAUGUUGGAGAUGAGCUUAAGAGAAGAAAGUUAAAGAUAUGGGUAGGUUGGCUGGUCAUCUAA